Molecule: ribosomal RNA, 253 nt
Filed under: uncultured bacterium
Lineage: Bacteria
Description: partial 16S ribosomal RNA
Rfam family: Bacterial small subunit ribosomal RNA
Source: RNAcentral
UACGAAGGGGGCUAGCGUUGUUCGGAAUUACUGGGCGUAAAGCGUGCGCAGGCGGUUUGCUAAGACAGGUGUGAAAUCCCCGGGCUUAACCCUGGGAUGCCGGUGGAUACUGUCGGGCUCGAGUCCGGAAGAGGCGAGUGGAAUUCCUGGUGUAGCGGUGAAAUGCGCAGAUAUCAGGAGGAACACCAAUGGCGAAGGCAGCUCGCUGGGACGUGACUGACGCUGAGACGCGAAAGCGUGGGGAGCAAACAGG